This 851-nucleotide unclassified non-coding RNA is filed under the name Hevea brasiliensis (rubber tree). Lineage: Eukaryota; Viridiplantae; Streptophyta; Magnoliopsida; Malpighiales; Euphorbiaceae. The record is from RNAcentral.
CUCCGAUCUGUGUAACUUGAACCACUACAUUGAACAAGAGCGCGGAUUAAAGAACUAAAACCCCAAACUCUGAUCCGUGUAACUUUGUUUGCUCCUCCUUCAUGAGGUAAGCAGCUUCUUAUGUUUUCCAGGUUUUCAAAGAAUUUACAAGGUUACUAAGCUACAGAAGCUCACUACACAGACAGGUCAUUUAUCCUUCGUCCUCAGAUUUAGAAUCAUUAUCCGGGUUGUCCUCAAGCUUCACCUCCACUUCCACCACCUGCACUGGGGUUGGGAAAGCAGGUCCUCCAGUAAAAAACGAGGACGAAGGCCAUCCACGAACACGAGAAACCGACCUCGUUUCAUCCUCUGAUAACAAAGAGGAAGCCGAUAACGAAGAAGCAGAACCAAAAUGACUCUUCACAGCAGCCAUUUUCCCAACAACCUCUAGUAUCCUAUGAGGAUCAAAAUCACCACGAUUACUAUGUAUUCCCCCAACUUUCACGUACGGUUGUGGAGGUGGAACCCAGUAAGAUGAUCCAGGCAAAAAAGGUAACCAAUCUGGAGCAGAACGCCUCACGAUAACCGAAUGGAUUACCUCCUCCAACUUCUUUACCCCACCGUCCGAUCCACUAGAUGACGAAUCUAGGUCGAUCUCGAUUAACUGAGGGUGAGGUGGUUCACCUCCACCAUCACCGGAUCCACCGCCGGAGCGAUUGGAGUUUGAACGGUGCCGGAGAGUGAGGAGAAGAGGUGGGGAGAAUACGGGUCGGGUCAGAAUUCGGGUUCGGGUUAAGGGAUUUGAGAGGAAACGAGCCAUGAGAAAACAGGGAUUUUUUUUUUUGGGCUUGUUGGUCGCCCCGAACCCGAAU